CCGAACCGACUAAUGUUGAAAAAUUAGCGGAUGACCUGUGGCUGGGGGUGAAAGGCCAAUCAAACCGGGAGAUAGCUGGUUCUCCCCGAAAGCUAUUUAGGUAGCGCCUCGUGAAUUCAUCUCCGGGGGUAGAGCACUGUUUCGGCUAGGGGGCCAUCCCGGCUUACCAACCCGAUGCAAACUGCGAAUACCGGAGAAUGUUAUCACGGGAGACACACGGCGGGUGCUAACGUCCGUCGUGAAGAGGGAAACAACCCAGACCGCCAGCUAAGGUCCCAAAGUCAUGGUUAAGUGGGAAACGAUGUGGGAAGGCCCAGACAGCCAGGAUGUUGGCUUAGAAGCAGCCAUCAUUUAAAGAAAGCGUAAUAGCUCACUGGUCGAGUCGGCCUGCGCGGAAGAUGUAACGGGGCUAAACCAUGCACCGAAGCUGCGGCAGCGACACU
This 443-nucleotide ribosomal RNA is filed under the name Salmonella enterica. RNAcentral's name for it is "partial 23S ribosomal RNA". It matches the Rfam family "Bacterial large subunit ribosomal RNA", at positions 774 to 1215 of the family's 2925-position model. RNAcentral also lists the same sequence under 1 other name. The record is from RNAcentral. Lineage: Bacteria; Pseudomonadati; Pseudomonadota; Gammaproteobacteria; Enterobacterales; Enterobacteriaceae.